RNAcentral lists this ribosomal RNA (398 nucleotides) under uncultured bacterium. RNAcentral describes it as "partial 16S ribosomal RNA". It matches the Rfam family "Bacterial small subunit ribosomal RNA", at positions 523 to 918 of the family's 1533-position model. The record is from RNAcentral.
AUACGUAGGGUGCGAGCGUUGUCCGGAAUUACUGGGCGUAAAGAGCUCGUAGGUGGAUUGUCGCGUCGUCUGUGAAAUUCCGGGGCUUAACUCCGGGCGUGCAGGCGAUACGGGCAUAACUUGAGUACUGUAGGGGAGACUGGAAUUCCUGGUGUAGCGGUGAAAUGCGCAGAUAUCAGGAGGAACACCGGUGGCGAAGGCGGGUCUCUGGGCAGUAACUGACGCUGAGGAGCGAAAGCAUGGGUAGCGAACAGGAUUAGAUACCCUGGUAGUCCAUGCCGUAAACGGUGGGCGCUAGGUGUAGGGGUCUUCCACGACUUCUGUGCCGUAGCUAACGCAUUAAGCGCCCCGCCUGGGGAGUACGGCCGCAAGGCUAAAACUCAAAUGAAUUGACGGGG